Molecule: ribosomal RNA, 164 nt
Filed under: uncultured bacterium
Lineage: Bacteria
Description: partial 16S rRNA
Rfam family: Bacterial small subunit ribosomal RNA
Source: RNAcentral
UAGGGAAUCUUCCACAAUGGGCGAAAGCCUGAUGGAGCAACGCCGCGUGCGUGAUGAAGGGUUUCGGCUCGUAAAACACUGUUGUAAGAGAAGAAUGACAUUGAGAGUAACUGUUCAAUGUGUGACGAUAUCUUACCAGAAAGGAACGGCUAAAUACGUGCCAC